AGCCAUGCCGCGUGGGUGAGAAGGCCUUCGGGUUGUAAAGCCCUUUUGUUGGGAAAGAAAUCCAGCCGGCUAAUACCUGGUUGGGAUGACGGUACCCAAAGAAUAAGCACCGGCUAACUUCGUGCCAGCAGCCGCGGUAAUACGAAGGGUGCAAGCGUUACUCGGAAUUACUGGGCGUAAAGCGUGCGUAGGUGGUCGUUUAAGUCCGUUGUGAAAGCCCUGGGCUCAACCUGGGAACUGCAGUGGAUACUGGGCGACUAGAGUGUGGUAGAGGGUAGCGGAAUUCCUGGUGUAGCAGUGAAAUGCGUAAAGAUCAGGAGGAACAUCCAUGGCGAAGGCAGCUACCUGGACCAACACUGACACUGAGGCACGAAAGCGUGGGGAGCAAACAGGAUUAAAUACCCUGGUAGUCCACGCCCUAAACGAUGCGAACUGGAUGUUGGGUGCAAUUUGGCACGCAG
RNAcentral lists this ribosomal RNA (461 nucleotides) under uncultured bacterium. Its description in RNAcentral is "bacterial SSU rRNA". It matches the Rfam family "Bacterial small subunit ribosomal RNA", at positions 390 to 843 of the family's 1533-position model. The record is from RNAcentral.